RNAcentral lists this long non-coding RNA (1301 nucleotides) under Equus caballus (horse). Its description in RNAcentral is "lncRNA (ENSECAG00000042441.2)". Lineage: Eukaryota; Metazoa; Chordata; Mammalia; Perissodactyla; Equidae. The record is from RNAcentral.
CCUGUCACACGCCCCACGCGGUGAGAAGCGAGCGAGCGAUUCCCACAGCCCAAGGAGAGCGCAAGGACUGGUGGCUGAAGCGUCUGCAGCAGCCUCCCUCGACCCCGCCCCGGCGGUGACGUGUGCCAGCGUGACCAGGAGUCCACCUUCCUCAUCCUGGUUCUCCACAGUGAGUGAUGCCCAUAAGGGACUGGGAGCAGAGGGGCCUCCCGAGUGGCCUGUGAGACAACUUGUGUGUUGGUAAUUUGGCAAUCAUAGGAAAUGGGCAACAGAGGCCUGCUCCGGAGGAGAAAUUCGCCCAGCCUAUUUGAGUGCAAUCACGGUGAGUUCCCGGCCUGCGAACUGCACGCCCCCCGGCCUCCUUGCCUGCCUCUAUCAGAAGGACGUCAGACUUCGACUCUAGCAAUGCCUCACAGUUUCAGCUCCUGCCCCCAGUGAUCCCAAACAAUGAGAUGUCUGGCCCCAGGUCCCACAGGAUUCAGGCUGUGCCAGAGAAAGCCAUUGGAUUUCCCAACUCGGCACACUAAGUGCUCAAUGAAAGCUCACCAAAUGGGGUAUUGAUGCCAUCGAAUGGACUGCAACAGAUGGAAUAUAAUUUGGAAAAACCCUUCUGCCAUCCAAAGAGACCUUUCCUUUCCUGAAGCUUCCCCACUGCAAGCAGAGGGGUUUCCAUGGAGUCUAUAGCAUACCAGAGCAUAUCACAUCGUCUACAGCAUAUAGCGUACAUAGCAUAGUAUAUGGCAUCGUCUGUAGCAUAUUAUAGCCUAUAGCCUACUUCACUGAAGACCAAGUAAUGUCCAUCUGCCUUGAAGUGGGGUUUUCAUGUGCAGCCAAAGAUAAUAAUAAUAUUGAGUCCUCUCACAACCUAAUGAGGUGCCAGUGUUAUGUCCAUUUUAUACAUGAGGAAACUCUGGCCCAGAGAGGUUAAGUAGUAACUUGCUGAAGACCAGGCAGCUAGGGAGGGCAGAGAAAGAACUCAGACUUAGCCCUCUGAAUAAACUAGGCACAGACAGGCAGGAGGCUCCAACCUCUGCACAGAAUAUUAUUCAUUUGGCUCAUCUUCUCAAUCCUGGAGGACCCUUGAGAGACAUGAAUGCAACACCACCUUCUGGAAUUACUGACAGAGGAAUUUCCUCCCUGUGAUGUCUCUUGCUUUCGUAUCAAGCUUCUGAGCCGUGCUUGGAGCUCCCUCGUGACGAGGCCAGGGCAAGUGUAACUGCAUCUAACAGGAGAAGGCAGAGGCACAGAGAGAAGUGAUACGGUAGAGACCGGGAUCGCAGGACAGGAUAUGGCAAGCGCAU